UAGCCUUAAACCAGCAACAUGCAAGUAGAAAGAAGAUGCAUUUUUUGGACGUGGGCUUGGACCUGCAUGGUGGGGAGCUCUGCACCACUGUUUAUGGAGGGCCGAUGUAUGAGCCGGUCAUUGUUCCGAAGUGGUCCCAUGACCCAGCCUCCUAUGGGCUGUCCAUGUUCGGAUUCUAUUUUGAAAGGGCAGAGGUCUGCAACAGCAGCGAGGGGGGGAAAGAGAGGGAAUUGCAAUGCAUCUGUUGAACCGGUUACUUAUGCAGGUGUGCAGGGGAUUUCUUGGGGAAAGUCCACGAUGGGGUCCAGCGGUCCCUGACUGAAGAGGUGGCGCCGGGAGGGGUGAAGGGUGCCACAUGUCAACCAGUGCCC
RNAcentral lists this long non-coding RNA (371 nucleotides) under Androctonus crassicauda. The record is from RNAcentral. Lineage: Eukaryota; Metazoa; Arthropoda; Arachnida; Scorpiones; Buthidae.